GAUGAAAGUAGCUCAGUUGGCAGAGUACGGGUUUGUGGGGCUCAAGGUCGAGAGUUCAAGUCUCUUCUUUCAUC
Molecule: transfer RNA, 74 nt
Filed under: Callyspongia plicifera (azure vase sponge)
Lineage: Eukaryota; Metazoa; Porifera; Demospongiae; Haplosclerida; Callyspongiidae
Description: tRNA-His
Rfam family: tRNA
About the family: Transfer RNA (tRNA) molecules are approximately 80 nucleotides in length. Their secondary structure includes four short double-helical elements and three loops (D, anti-codon, and T loops).
Source: RNAcentral